UACGGAGGGAGCUAGCGUUGUUCGGAAUUACUGGGCGUAAAGCGUACGUAGGCGGCGAUUCAAGUCAGAGGUGAAAGCCUGGAGCUCAACUCCAGAACUGCCUUUGAAACUAGAUUGCUAGAAUCUUGGAGAGGUCAGUGGAAUUCCGAGUGUAGAGGUGAAAUUCGUAGAUAUUCGGAAGAACACCAGUGGCGAAGGCGACUGACUGGACAAGUAUUGACGCUGAGGUACGAAAGCGUGGGGAGCAAACAGGAUUAGAUACCCUGGUAGUCCACGCCGUAAACGAUGAUAACUAGCUGCCGGGGUUCAGAGAACUUCGGUGGCGCAGCUAACGCAUUAAGUUAUCCGCUUGGGGAGUACGGUCGCAAGAUUAAA
Molecule: ribosomal RNA, 375 nt
Filed under: uncultured bacterium
Lineage: Bacteria
Description: bacterial SSU rRNA
Rfam family: Bacterial small subunit ribosomal RNA
Source: RNAcentral